CUGACAUGUUAUUAAAUUGUAAAUUUCAGGAGAUAUCCUUAGCUUUAUCUAAGACCUAUUGAAUCAAUAAGUCAAUUCAGAUUUUUAAUAAGCUCGCUCAAUAGCUAACCAAUCAAAGCCAAUAUCUUUUUCUAAAUGAUGUAAUGGUCUUUCGGCCUUUAGAGCUGUAUGGCAGACCUUGACUGUGUGUACAUGGACAUGUGACCACGCCCACCAUGGACAGGCGUCGACCAAUGAAAAGUUUCCAUAACGAUUGAUUUGGUGCCAUGUUUUGUAAAUGACUGAUAGAUUUAUUUGAAGUAAUUAAUGCUGUCAUGUCUUCAGUGGGACUCUAUGGGGAUAUGUUGGGUAUUUCUGGUCAGAUUAUUACAUGUGUAUAUAGGUCUCUGGUGAUAGUAACCAAGGUGAUAGGGUUUUAUUUUCUCAUUGUUCAUCUGAUACAUUUAAGGUAUAACUUGAUCAGGUGUCAUUCAAGGUUGGAAGGUGUCAGUUGUCUUUGAUAGUUAAACAACGAAAUACAGUUACUGUAUUACCUAUGUGUCGUAUAUUUUGUAUCCCGAUCACUGGCCACGUAACCUAAGGUAAAGAUCUGAGGUCUGUGGUGUGACCAUCCCUACCUGUAUCAGUUUGUGUUUAUCGGGAAGCUGAGAAACAGACUUGUAUGUGUUGUCAUGGUUUUGUCUUUGAUGAAUGGCAUUCGAUGGGCCUCCCAUAUGUUGUUCAGUACCUAUACUAGAUUUUUAAAAAGUUUUUGACCUAUGUAGUUGACCAUGCAAUAUUGAUUAAAAAAAGCUGGAAGUGUAUAACUUU
Molecule: long non-coding RNA, 810 nt
Organism: Pecten maximus
Lineage: Eukaryota; Metazoa; Mollusca; Bivalvia; Pectinida; Pectinidae
Exons: 2
Source: RefSeq, a predicted model, not a curated record